CCAGAGCUGAGAGGGAUGGCCAGCUGGGACUGUCCAAGAAAUGCCCAGCCAGCAAAGCUCAGCUUUCCAGGGAAUCAGCCCCUGAGGAGACUGACAGGGUUUGUGUUGAGAAGGCAAACACUGUGUGGGGCUGGUUUUGGCAACAAGGUCAUCUUUGGAGGUGGAACUCAGCUAAGAGUAAAUCCCAAAGUUACUCCAUCUCCAUCAGUCUACAGGCUGACCUCUAAAGAUGACCAGGAUCUGGAAAUGUGCCUUAUCACAGAUUACUCCCCUGAAAAGCUCACUCUUAACUCAGCUGAGCAGCACACCUCCACUGUGGUGGAGGUGGCAGCUGCUGGGAACAGAGAGGAAUCCAGCUACCUGUCCACCUACUGGGCCAGGAGAGAUGAGCUGCAGUGCAGUGCCAGCCACGAGGGCUUUGGAGAGCUGGAGGGCGAGGACCCUGAGAGUGGUGCCAGUGCUGUCUGUGUCACAGGGCUGUCCCCACACUUCAGGACAGAUGAACACUUGAACACACUGUCUUUAUCACAGCUGGGCCUCAAAAUAGUUUUAAUGAAAGGAAUAAUUUUUAAUGUGCUGAUGACGAUGCUUAUGUGGAAGAAAAAAAAGGACUGAAAGUAACCAGGAGCUGCAGUCCUGAGGUACCAAAACCAUCUGCUUUGAGAGAGCUUUGAGAGAGCAUCGUGAGCAAGAGGGAGCACAGGGAUAUUCCUUGUGCAAGGGCCAUCAAUUGCUGUUCUUAUAAACCACACCAGCCAUUAUAUUCUAAAUUGCUUUAUUUACAUUGACUUCAAACUACUCAAAAUUAAGCAUUUCCAGCAUUCUGCCCUCCAGAUGCCAGGGUCAUUCACCAUACAGUGCCUCUUGUGCACGAAGCUGACUUUGCUACAAUUACACAUUGCCAAGCAUCACUGUUACUUGCAUUAAAAUGAUGAGUUCUGCCUGGAGCAGUGCUGUUUGUUAAAAACUGCAAGCUAAAUAUCACCUGAAUGGGAAUUUUUCCUAUUUUGGUAGCUUUAGGGUAUUCAUGUCUCUUAGGGUGCACUCCCAGAAACCUUUUCAGGUGCAAAUGAAACACUGAAAAGCAAAGGGAGGUUGACUCAGGAUGCACUGUCCUGCCACCCUUUGCUAGAUCAGAGCAAGAUAUCCCUUUUUCCCACUAAAGGAAGAGCUGCAGGACUCCCAGAAAUCCCAAAUUCAGUGAAAUGGUCACUUCAAUAUCAUAGAAAAAAAAAAAAAA
This is a non-coding RNA of Pseudopodoces humilis (Tibetan ground-tit), 1240 nucleotides long. The record is from the annotation of a RefSeq genome assembly. NCBI's taxonomy places the organism in Eukaryota, Metazoa, Chordata, Aves, Passeriformes, Paridae.